AGUGAACGCUGGCGGUAGGCCUAACACAUGCAAGUCGAACGGCAGCACAGUAAGAGCUUGCUCUUACGGGUGGCGAGUGGCGGACGGGUGAGGAAUACAUCGGAAUCUACUUUUUCGUGGGGGAUAACGUAGGGAAACUUACGCUAAUACCGCAUACGACUUACGGGUGAAAGCAGGGGAUCUUCGGACCUUGCGCGAUUGAAUGAGCCGAUGUCGGAUUAGCUAGUUGGCGGGGUAAAGGCCCACCAAGGCGACGAUCCGUAGCUGGUCUGAGAGGAUGAUCAGCCACACUGGAACUGAGACACGGUCCAGACUCCUACGGGAGGCAGCAGUGGGGAAUAUUGGACAAUGGGCGCAAGCCUGAUCCAGCCAUACCGCGUGGGUGAAGAAGGCCUUCGGGUUGUAAAGCCCUUUUGUUGGGAAAGAAAAGCAGCAGGUUAAUACCCCGCUGUUCCGACGGUACCCAAAGAAUAAGCACCGGCUAACUUCGUG
Molecule: ribosomal RNA, 492 nt
Filed under: uncultured bacterium
Lineage: Bacteria
Description: partial 16S ribosomal RNA
Rfam family: Bacterial small subunit ribosomal RNA
Source: RNAcentral